Molecule: ribosomal RNA, 484 nt
Filed under: uncultured bacterium
Lineage: Bacteria
Description: partial 16S ribosomal RNA
Rfam family: Bacterial small subunit ribosomal RNA
Source: RNAcentral
AUUGAACGCUGGCGGCAGGCCUAACACAUGCAAGUCGAGCGGAUGAAGGGAGCUUGCUCCUGGAUUCAGCGGCGGACGGGUGAGUAAUGCCUAGGAAUCUGCCUGGUAGUGGGGGAUAACGUCCGGAAACGGGCGCUAAUACCGCAUACGUCCUGAGGGAGAAAGUGGGGGAUCUUCGGACCUCACGCUAUCAGAUGAGCCUAGGUCGGAUUAGCUAGUUGGUGGGGUAAAGGCCUACCAAGGCGACGAUCCGUAACUGGUCUGAGAGGAUGAUCAGUCACACUGGAACUGAGGCACGGUCCAGACUCCUACGGGAGGCAGCAGUGGGGAAUAUUGGACAAUGGGCGAAAGCCUGAUCCAGCCAUGCCGCGUGUGUGAAGAAGGUCUUCGGAUUGUAAAGCACCUUAAGUUGGGAGGAAGGGCAGUAAGUUAAUACCUUGCUGUUUUGACGUUACCAACAGAAUAAGCACCGGCUAACUUCGUG